UACGGAGGAUCCGAGCGUUAUCCGGAUUUAUUGGGUUUAAAGGGUGCGUAGGUGGUUUGAUAAGUCAGCGGUGAAAGUUUGCAGCUUAACUGUAAAAAUGCCGUUGAAACUGUCGGACUUGAGUGUAAAUGAGGUAGGCGGAAUUCGUGGUGUAGCGGUGAAAUGCUUAGAUAUCACGAAGAACUCCAAUUGCGAAGGCAGCUUACCGGGGUACAACUGACACUGAAGCACGAAAGCGUGGGGAUCAAAC
This 250-nucleotide ribosomal RNA is filed under the name uncultured bacterium. Its description in RNAcentral is "partial 16S ribosomal RNA". It matches the Rfam family "Bacterial small subunit ribosomal RNA", at positions 524 to 773 of the family's 1533-position model. The record is from RNAcentral.